RNAcentral lists this ribosomal RNA (90 nucleotides) under Pteropus alecto (black flying fox). Lineage: Eukaryota; Metazoa; Chordata; Mammalia; Chiroptera; Pteropodidae. The record is from RNAcentral.
AGCUACAGCCAUGCCACUCUGAACACGCUCAGAAGCUAAGCAGGGUCGGUCUUGGUUAGUACUUGGAUGAGAAACCAAGUGCUGUAGAUG